GAUGAACGCUGGCGGCAUGCCUUACACAUGCAAGUCGAACGGCAGCACGGGAGUAAUCCUGGUGGCGAGUGGCGAACGGGUGAGUAAUAUAUCGGAACGUGCCCAGUCGUGGGGGAUAACGCAGCGAAAGCUGUGCUAAUACCGCAUACGAUCUAAGGAUGAAAGCGGGGGAUCGCAAGACCUCGCGCGAUUGGAGCGGCCGAUAUCAGAUUAGCUAGUUGGUGGGGUAAUGGCCCACCAAGGCGACGAUCUGUAGCUGGUCUGAGAGGACGACCAGCCACACUGGAACUGAGACACGGUCCAGACUCCUACGGGAGGCAGCAGUGGGGAAUUUUGGACAAUGGGCGCAAGCCUGAUCCAGCAAUGCCGCGUGCAGGAUGAAGGCCUUCGGGUUGUAAACUGCUUUUGUACGGAACGAAACGGCCCUUUCUAAUACAGGGGGCUAAUGACGGUACCGUAAGAAUAAGCACCGGCUAACUACGUGCCAGCCGCCGCAGUAA
Molecule: ribosomal RNA, 500 nt
Filed under: uncultured bacterium
Lineage: Bacteria
Description: partial 16S ribosomal RNA
Rfam family: Bacterial small subunit ribosomal RNA
Source: RNAcentral